RNAcentral lists this ribosomal RNA (274 nucleotides) under uncultured bacterium. RNAcentral's name for it is "partial 16S ribosomal RNA". It matches the Rfam family "Bacterial small subunit ribosomal RNA", at positions 523 to 796 of the family's 1533-position model. The record is from RNAcentral.
AUACGGAGGGUGCAAGCGUUAUUCGGAAUCACUGGGCGUAAAGGGUGCGUAGUCGGUUUGGUAAGUCUGAUGGUAAAUCCUAUGGCUCAACCAUAGAACUGCAUUGGAAACUGCUAGACUAGAAUACUGAAGGGGCAGAUGGAAUUAGUGGUGUAGGGGUAAAAUCCGUAGAUAUCACUAGGAAUACCGAAAGCGAAAGCGAUCUGCUGGGAAGUUAUUGACGCUGAGGCACGAAAGCGUGGGGAGCAAACGGGAUUAGAUACCCUAGUAGUCC